CGAAGCUGCGGCAGCGACACUGUGUGUUGUUGGGUAGGGGAGCGUUCUGUAAGCCUGCGAAGGUGUGCUGUGAGGCAUGCUGGAGGUAUCAGAAGUGCGAAUGCUGACAUAAGUAACGAUAAAGCGGGUGAAAAGCCCGCUCGCCGGAAGACCAAGGGUUCCUGUCCAACGUUAAUCGGGGCAGGGUGAGUCGACCCCUAAGGCGAGGCCGAAAGGCGUAGUCGAUGGGAAACAGGUUAAUAUUCCUGUACUUGGUGUUACUGCGAAGGGGGGACGGAGAAGGCUAUGUUGGCCGGGCGACGGUUGUCCCGGUUUAAGCGUGUAGGCUGGUUUUCCAGGCAAAUCCGGAAAAUCAAGGCUGAGGCGUGAUGACGAGGCACUACGGUGCUGAAGCAACAAAUGCCCUGCUUCCAGGAAAAGCCUCUAAGCAUCAGGUAACAUCAAAUCGUACCCCAAACCGACACAGGUGGUCAGGUAGAGAAUACCAAGGCGCUUGAGAGAACUCGGGUGAAGGAACUAGGCAAAAUGGUGCCGUAACUUCGGGAGAAGGCACGCUGAUAUGUAGGUGAAGUCCCUCGCGGAUGGAGCUGAAAUCAGUCGAAGAUACCAGCUGGCUGCAACUGUUUAUUAAAAACACAGCACUGUGCAAACACGAAAGUGGACGUAUACGGUGUGACGCCUGCCCGGUGCCGGAAGGUUAAUUGAUGGGGUCAGCGCAAGCGAAGCUCUUGAUCGAAGCCCCGGUAAACGGCGGCCGUAACUAUAACGGUCCUAAGGUAGCGAAAUUCCUUGUCGGGUAAGUUCCGACCUGCACGAAUGGCGUAAUGAUGGCCAGGCUGUCUCCACCCGAGACUCAGUGAAAUUGAACUCGCUGUGAAGAUGCAGUGUACCCGCGGCAAGACGGAAAGACCCCGUGAACCUUUACUAUAGCUUGACACUGAACAUUGAGCCUUGAUGUGUAGGAUAGGUGGGAGGCUUUGAAGUGUGGACGCCAGUCUGCAUGGAGCCGACCUUGAAAUACCACCCUUUAAUGUUUGAUGUUCUAACGUUGACCCGUGAUCCGGGUUGCGGACAGUGUCUGGUGGGUAGUUUGACUGGGGCGGUCUCCUCCUAAAGAGUAACGGAGGAGCACGAAGGUUGGCUAAUCCUGGUCGGACAUCAGGAGGUUAGUGCAAUGGCAUAAGCCAGCUUGACUGCGAGCGUGACGGCGCGAGCAGGUGCGAAAGCAGGUCAUAGUGAUCCGGUGGUUCUGAAUGGAAGGGCCAUCGCUCAACGGAUAAAAGGUACUCCGGGGAUAACAGGCUGAUACCGCCCAAGAGUUCAUAUCGACGGCGGUGUUUGGCACCUCGAUGUCGGCUCAUCACAUCCUGGGGCUGAAGUAGGUCCCAAGGGUAUGGCUGUUCGCCAUUUAAAGUGGUACGCGAGCUGGGUUUAGAACGUCGUGAGACAGUUCGGUCCCUAUCUGCCGUGGGCGCUGGAGAACUGAGGGGGGCUGCUCCUAGUACGAGAGGACCGGAGUGGACGCAUCACUGGUGUUCGGGUUGUCAUGCCAAUGGCACUGCCCGGUAGCUAAAUGCGGAAGAGAUAAGUGCUGAAAGCAUCUAAGCACGAAACUUGCCCCGAGAUGAGUUCUCCCUGACUCCUUGAGAGUCCUGAAGGAACGUUGAAGACGACGACGUUGAUAGGCCGGGUGUGUAAGCGCAGCGAUGCGUUGAGCUAACCGGUACUAAUGAACCGUGAGGCUUAACCUUACAACGCCGAAGGUGUUU
This 1769-nucleotide ribosomal RNA is filed under the name Escherichia coli. RNAcentral's name for it is "partial 23S ribosomal RNA". It matches the Rfam family "Bacterial large subunit ribosomal RNA", at positions 1195 to 2925 of the family's 2925-position model. The record is from RNAcentral. Lineage: Bacteria; Pseudomonadati; Pseudomonadota; Gammaproteobacteria; Enterobacterales; Enterobacteriaceae.